Lepidothrix coronata (blue-crowned manakin) is the source of this 5112-nucleotide long non-coding RNA. RefSeq lists it as uncharacterized. Lineage: Eukaryota; Metazoa; Chordata; Aves; Passeriformes; Pipridae. The record is from RefSeq and is a predicted model, not a curated record. The transcript has 3 exons.
AAAAUCCUACACAAAGAGAGCCUCCUGUGCUUGCUCUGGAAGUGGGCCAUGGUCCAAAGUCCUUUGUGGGAGCACAAUGAGCCCGUGCCUCUGUGCUGAGGAGGGAUUGUUGCUCCAUCUGCCACCUGGAAUGGCAUACCUGGUGUAGCAGAAGGGUUGCAUCUGUCAGCACCUGUGAAGUGAAUAUUUGGGGUUGUGCACAGUUAGAGGCAGGCAGUGGGUGUAGCUGCUGACCUUCACGUUUGGCCCUUUUCCAAGGCCUUCUCCCCAGUUUGUCCUGCCUGCUUCAAAUCCAAGGAGUUCCUUGUGCCUGGGCAUUACACUUAUGUCUAGUAGUCAUCCACUUGGUUUCCUUUGGAGACCAUGGAGUUGCUGGCCUUUGCUGAUGAUUAGUUGCCCUUUGGGGCAGCAAUCAAAACAGCUUUCCCUUACUGCUGCUUUUGUGGUUUUGGCUUAACCAGCACUAACAGUGAGUGAGGGGUAACUAGAGUUAAAGCAACUCUUAAAUUUCACCUUGUUGUCUCAUUCCAAGCAGGCCUGAAGAGCACUGAGAGGCAACACUAUUUUCACUGAGCCUCUGGAAUGAAACGUAUGUUGUGUGAGGCUAUGAGAGAAGGAGCAGCCUGCUCCCAUACAAAAAGUGUCUGUAGCAUCACUUGUUGCUGUAGGCUCUCAAAGUGCCUUGGAUGUUCUGGUUCCACUGGAGAGCAGUAUUUUUCUACAUUUCUCAUCCGUAAUUCCUGGGAUGGGAAUGAUGCUUCUGCUAGAAUGCAGGAGUGUGGUCAUUUCUGGUAGCAUAUUCAGUGACCCCAGAGGACUCAGUUGCUUUUGUGCCUGGAGGAGAUCCAUUCUGGAAGAGAUCCUUCUGCUAAACUGGUAAUGUUGUGUAAAGCAUCAGGUUUCCCACAAAGAUCAAAACUCUGACUCAGAUUAAUUAAAAACCUAUUUGCAAGUGCACAUGCAAGGGUCCAUUUUCCCUUCCAGAGUAUUUCAAUGAAAAUUGGAUGUCUGAUUAAUCUUAUCCUGGUUCCCCCCCUUUUUUUUUAUUUCCCUUAAUGAUCCUGCUGCUGUGAAUAACUGGCAGUGUUGCAUUUUUUUCAGGAUGCAGCAGAUUUUCUAUCUUGCAGAUUUUCUAGCUUACAAAUUUCAAGACAAAAUGCCUUUCUUCUGGAAUGAAGGUGCCAUAUGGCUUGAAAUGCAUAAUUGAUCACUGCUCAAAAUAGAAGCUUCAUCGAAAGUCACCUAGAAGUCCAAUGCAUGUGUGCAGGGGACUUAAUAGACCUUGAUGCAUUUUUUGUUUCCUGAGACUGAUGAUGAUACAGGGACAGGUUUUUAUGGCUCCUCUUAGAGGUUCUGAUGCUUGUGCUCUCAUUAUUCCAGGAGAUCUUGGGAGUUGCAUUAGGAGGUGCAUCAAUCUUAUGCUUGCUGAUCCCUGCUGGGCUUGGCUGGAUGAAAAACACCCCAGACAAGCCUGGCAUUCACCAUAUAGCCCAACAAAGGCCACAGUUGUAUCUGUGAGUGUAAAACAGUUCAGUUGAUCAAAUCUGGUGGGCUGAAUCCAGCCCUUGGUGCCCCAUAUUUCCCACCUCCAGUGGGAUGCCUCCACAAGCAGCCUGUCCCAGCUCCCACACAGAGUGAGGUAGGUUCCUACUGAUGUGGGAGGGAUGUUGGGGGUCCAUCUGGCUGUGUGCCCUGCUUCCUGGUAAUGAGCAACACCUUAGACCACCCAGUAUUGUGGAUGCUUUUCUGUUCUGGUCCUUAUGAAUUAUGGCAAACUCUGAUAGGAAGAGUGGUGGGAAGUUGCCUUGAAAAAAGAGAGCAGAGCAGGAAAGAAAGCGAGGAGACUACCCAGAAUGAUCCAGGCUUUUCAAUUCACCUUGAUAGGUUUAAAAAGCGGGCAGUGGAGGUGCUUCUGCAGCCCCUUUGGGCAACUGAGUCCUUUGUCUAUUUUAGUAACCUUCAAGGAGCUGACAGCUCUGAUUUCUGGAGGAUUUCUAGUUUUCUCACUGCUAGCAAGUCCUGCUCAGCAAGAACCUGCUCACACACCCAGUUCUGCUCCUGCUUGCAGAGCUGCUAAUCAAGGAUAGCACGUGGGAAGGCAGCCACAUGGGAGGGGGUGCUCUGUGAGGGAGUCAGGCCCGGUUUUGUUUGCUCAAUUUACAUUUCUCUGUUAUUAAAUCAUGUUCUGGGUUUCAGCAGGGUUUGUAAGCACUGAAUCUCUCCUUAGUGGACAAAGUAGGAGAAUGAUAGCACUACAGAAUCUGGGACACCAGGAUAGCCCUGAGGAUUUGAUGUGAUGCUGUGUGCUGCAGCCAUCUGCUGCCAAUCUACCAAGGACCUUUCCCCUCCGGGUUGCACUGGCAGCCCCAGGUAGCAUGGCUGGAUGGAUGGUCCAAAGCAUUUCAUCACACUGAGGAAGCCAGUUUUGGGGCAGGCAGACUCAAAGGGGAAAAGAAAUCCUGCUGCCACUCAGGAUUGCAGAGAAGCUGCGGAUCAGAUCAGUGCUGAGAAAAUUGCUGGUAACUCAGGAUGCCAAACUAGGCAGGAGCAAAGCCCCCCAGUGAUAAAUGAGCCUUCACUGCCCCAUGAACAAGCACCAAGCAGGAAAUCCCAGGGGUGUAAUGAGGCUGGCUGCUUGCAGCUCUGGGAUUGCCUCCCUUGGCUUUUGCUCUUUAGUGUGGAGAUGGGAGUUAGGCUGUGCUGUAAACCCCUGGAUGUAGCAGGUUGUCUUUAACCCCUCGUCCUCAUCACCCAUCACUGUGGCCCAGCCCAUAGGGAGCACACACUCCAGGGUGUGCCUGUUGUUUGGCACAUCUCUGUGCAUGCUCAGAGUGGUUGCUAAGGCAGCAUAAGUCUGUCCCCUUUCUCUGUGCCUUCAAAUGUCUGUCUGAUCUAGAGGUAUAGUUGUACUGUGUCAGUGCAGCCCCAUCCCAGAGCAGUAUCCAUAUGGGAGAGCAGAGGCAAUGCCACGGGUCAGGUGUUAACAGUCUGUGUGCACAGACAUCAGUGUGAGUGGUACAGGAGAGUGGAGUGUGGGCUUCAGUUUAGUUCUCCCCCUCCCCAAACUGUGCUGCAGAGUCUGGUGGGAAAGAGGAACUAUCCACUGCCACCUACAAUGACACAGCAUGGAGGUGAACAACCUGACAGGAGAUGCAUCCUGAGCUCUGUGUGAGAGAUGCUCAGCAUGUGCAAGGGCAGCACAGAGAUGUUACAGGAACCAGGUCACUGCAGGGCUCUGGUGACAGGAGGUGUGUGAGUUCUGGUCAAAGGGACAGAGAUACUGAGUUCACUGGCUGGUGAAAAAGAACCAGGUAGGUGAAAAAUGAGAGCGUGUCUGGAACAUCUCCCUCCAUCCUUCCAGCAUGCAUGGCAGGAGACUUGCAGGUGUGGUGGUGCCAGCCAGAAGGACUCAUUUGAACACAGAGAUGUCUGGAUUGAUGGCUUUAUUUCAGCUUAUUUUAGCAAGUAAUAGGCAGGGGGGGUGAUGUUUAUCACUGAAACUGGAGCUGGCUGUACUUUAGAUCACAGCUCUAAUCGGUUAGACUGACUUGGACAGUAAAUCACUUCAGCAGCACUAAUAACACAGAGUGACAGGUGUACUAAACCCUCUAUUGCAGCAAUAACCUGGUCCUGCUGGUUCUUUCACUCGGGUUAGUGCUUCUGCUGUGGUUUGUUUAUUAAAGCUCCUUCACAAAAGUCACCUGGGUGGCUGCUCUGACUCAGCCAUUGAAAUGGCUGUUCUCCUGCCAUUCCCCAACCUGGCUUCGGCUCUUUUUAUAGCCUGCUAUAAAAUUGUUUAUUUUUGCACCUGUUUAGAAAGGCUUUUUGGCCACAGGGGUCUCAUGAUGUUGUUUUCAUGGCUUCUGGAGCAGGGCUGCUCUGUUGUUGCUAGAAAUAAUUGCUGUUAAUUAAUUCUUUGCUGAUUUUUCUUUGGCAAAGCAUACUGAAAUAAGCAGAGAAGUGAGCAGCAUGCUCUGUGUCUUGAUGUUGUGGGAGCUUUUAGGAGGCAUGCAGUGACAUCCAAACAAUCCCAUCAGCAGCCAGAGGAAGAGUAGGACACAGUCCUCAACUUUCUGUGGACAAAGUUAAUUGGGGGGAGGCUGAAUUACCAUCUCCAGCUGUUUGGCAGCUUCCUUCAAGCCAUAAUUUUUAAUCUCUUUCUAGAGAAAAACCACAGCCUUGUUUCCAUCUAAUGCUUUAUUCAAAUCACAGUUGAGCAAUGUUACAGAAAAUUAUGUGGUCUCAGCUCUCUGAGCUGGACCAGCAGCUGAAGGCAGCAGCCUAUGACAAGAGACUGACUGCAGGGGCCAAUAACUGCACCAUUUUCUUUUCUGUGCCCUUUUAAAAUGGUUUGUUCUUUUUUUUCUGAAGGACUUUCAGACCAGAAAUGAAGUGCUGGGCUUCAGCCCCUCUGACCUGUGGUCAUGCCUGUAUCAUCUCCAUCAUUCUCUUUGCACUGGGCUCCUGGCAGGAUCAGCCACUGCUUCCCAGGAACCCAGAGCUGGCAGCAGCUGGCUGGGCCACUUCUGUCCCCACCCUGGAAUGGGGACAUCAUGCAGCCCUGUCUCUUGCUUGAAUGUCUCCAAGCUGUUCCUGGAAGAAUGAGCCAUUUGAGCCAGGAAGAGAUUAAAUUAUUGGAAUUGAGCAAAAGCAAUUUCCAUGAGGAUCUCUGUGUGCAUGAUGUUACCUCCACGACUAUUAAAUCACCAGAACAAAGGACUCCCCAUCUUUCACACUGGUAACACUGGGCUGCAACAGAGUUAACCACUAUGCAAAUGGAAUGAAACCCUGACCUGCAAAACACUCUGCAGUGAGGAAACCAAAACUGCAACGGAAAUGAGCUGCUGUAGCAUAGGUGCAGCUGGCCAGUGCUGUAGCUUGUUCACACAAACCUCCAGCUGCAAAAGCUGCCUCCCCUGUGGUGCUGAGGAAGCCUAAAGGAUCCAGCCUGGUGUAUCUGCUACUCCAGAGUUUUGCUUGAAUGCAGUUGCAGUGGCAUGAAUUAUUGAUAUCUCUGUUCAGGUUUGCUGUUCACGCAGGAAUCUGUAAUGCUUCCCCACCUUACGCUGUGAAUGCGCUCCCGGGUCACAUAAAGGGUUGUGUUUAACACCC